Non-coding RNA from Meleagris gallopavo (turkey), 1975 nucleotides. The record is from RefSeq and is a predicted model, not a curated record. NCBI's taxonomy places the organism in Eukaryota, Metazoa, Chordata, Aves, Galliformes, Phasianidae.
UAAAGAAUGACCAGGCAAUACUCUUUGAAAAUUGGAGACCAUUUGCAGCUGCUCUCUGCUGAGGAAAGUGAAUAAUAGGGUGCCCUCAAGGAAUUUCAAAGCACCACCACUUGAGUGGAAGCAGGAGCGCUGGAGAAGCCAGAGCCAAACAUGAGUCUCUUCUAGCAAUCACAGGCCACGGUGAACUGUGAAUCUUUGAAGGAUGGAAUUUGGCUCACCAAACCUCCCAGUCCUGGAAUAAUGACUGCCCUAAGAAGAAGAGAAGGAAGGGAGAGUCAUUAAAGUGAGUGGUGAUCUUUCAAUUGGCUUGUGUGUGUUAUGGUCUGUUUUAAACAAAGCCAAUGAAUCCUAAUGUCUGAACUGCAGUGAUACUUACAUGACUGAAAGGACCUAGCUUAUGUACAGAGCUUACUUUUUUCAAACAUUACACAUUAUCCUUAAUCUGUUUCUCAGGAAAGAGAGGAGGAAAUCUCCAGCAUUUAUUAAAUUACUAAAUAGGGUAACGUUGUCUCCCUUCUGAGGGCUGCUAACUACUUAUCCUUGUUUGCUGAGCACAAGUUGAUGGCUUAUGACCACAGGACACAAUUUAAUAGAUUGAACUGUGUCAGUCACCACGGUAACUAUGCCAAGUAGAGCUUCCUCCUUACUUUCUCACUGAGAGCUCUGCUUUAAUUUCUUUUUAUAUGAAGGACCUGUAAAAGCUGGAAAACAGUUUGGAUUCUGUUGGUUUUAUUUGUAUUUCUUACGUAAUCACAAUAUCCCUCAAAACAGCUGUUUAUUGUCAACUGCAAUACAUCCACAUUUUUAACCAAAUGGAAUUGCUUGUAAACUGGCUUGCACUUGUUGAUAAAUAAUUGUAUGUCACAUUUGUCUGAUCAGGUAAAGAUUCAGCAAAAAAAUUUUGUCUGAAGGGAAAAAACAAAUAACACUCUUGAACGAAUCCAAGAUUUGCUAUAAAUACACAGGUAUCAUUAAUGUGGUGCAAAUCACAGUAUUUAUAUGUCUACAUACUUGGAAGCUUAGUGUAAAAUAAGUUGAGAUGGAACUAUGAAGGUUGGUGAAAAAUGGUUGAAGUGGGAAUUUAUCAUAGGGGUGACAUUUUAGGUGGACCAUUUUCAUUAUUUCAAAUCAAACUGAACAUCAAAUUGCAAUUUCUAAUGUCUUCUAUUUGCACAACUGCUCUGCUAGACACACAAAAUUGGUGUGUACACUGUGCUGACAGUAAACUGAGGCAUAAUGAGAUGCUGGAAAGUUGUCUGCAUUCUUAAAGGAGGCCUUAAAGCAAUAACUUCGGAGGGAUAGAGUACUGCUCCUUCUUUUUUCCCAUAAAGAGAGACCAUAAGAACUCAAACCCCUAUUCCUCAGCGCAGAGCUGUCUCGUUUCUAAGAUGAGUAAAUAUUUUAUAAUCAGAGUGUAACACCAAUAGUCUUACUUAUGUUGGUUAGCACAUAAUCUCAAGUACUGUCAUACUGGAUGUAAAGAGAUAGCCUACAGAACAUGAGGUAAGACUAUCAGAUUCUGGUCUGUAACAUUUCCUAGCCUGUAAUCCUCCUUUUGAGAAGCACAUGCUUGUACUUGAGAUUUGUAUGUGAAUGCAGAAAGUAAGUUACAAAUUGCUUAUAGAUUCUGCUUUUGAUCCAUCGAAAAAUGGCUGACCUUUGAGUCCUGAACUUGUAUUACUGAUAUGGUUAAUGUCUGUUUUUGAGCAUACACCACUAGAUCCGUAGGUAAUUCCUAGAUUCCUUGCAACACAGUCUGCAUUUGCAAACUCUGUUCUGUUUUCUACAUGGUGAUGAUACAAGAGUGUUUGCAGUGUGCUCUGCUGAAGCUGGCAGCAAUACGGUAGCAUUGUAAACCAAUGAUCAGCAGAGAAAACCUUUAUUAGCCUCAUUCCCUCAAAAGAGGAAACCACAAUAAAAGGCUAAAAACCUCCAGUUCCUUUACGAUGCCAACAUCUGCAUCGUUUUAGUAAGA